RNAcentral lists this unclassified non-coding RNA (1391 nucleotides) under Hevea brasiliensis (rubber tree). The record is from RNAcentral. Lineage: Eukaryota; Viridiplantae; Streptophyta; Magnoliopsida; Malpighiales; Euphorbiaceae.
AAACACCAUUCCAGAAAGAGAUUCUAGUCUGAUAAUUGAAACAAUCCAAAACCAAAUCAAUAUGCCUAGUCACAUACAAAAUCUCACUCUGCUCAGUAUUUUACUGCUUCUCAUCACCACCGUCCACUCGCAAUCCGUUCCCUCAAAUUUGAGUUCCAAUGGCAACUGGACUUGCACGAAAUGCUGUGAGCAGGCUUAUGGGUUCAUGCCUUGCAGUACCAGCGCUGUUGGCAAUUUCGUUUUGAUAAUUGGGUAUGGAUACCUUUUCUUCUUAGCUUCCAAGUCUUUGACCAAAGGUUGCGAGAUUUUGAAUCGGAUUUUGGGGCCUGGAAUUGUUGGUGGCUUGUUGCUUCCCCAACUCGGAGAACUCUCUGAUGCAAUGCUUGUGCUAGGUAAUAUUUCUUUGCUCUCCACUUUUUACUGGAUAAGCUGAAUUAUUUGAUCAGAUUAGACAGGACCCUUAGAACGGGUCAACGUUCCGGUCCUUGAACCGACCGGGACCGAAGGCGCGGGCUUAUUACAGUUGCUCCUUUCUUGAAUCAGAACUUAAACUGGCCGGUUUAAACUGGUAAUUUCAAACUGGAAUCAGCUUAAUUUUAUUUUAUUUUUUAAUUUUUCCUAUAUUAUAUAGAUAUUUUGAGCAUCUUUAAUUCUUUGACCAUUUUGAGCAUCUUUAAUUCUUAAACUAUUCUCAAAUUUUUAUGUAUAACAUAUUUUAAAAUUUUAGGUUUGAUUUAAAAAUUUUAAAUUUCUAUUUUUUCUAAAAUUUUUCUAACUUAGAUAGAUAAUCCUGAGUAUCUUUAAUUCUUGAACAUUCUUAAAUAUGCAAUACAACAGUUUCUAUAAAAUUUUUAAGUUAAUUAGCUUUUGUAAAUUUGAAUUAGAACCAUAAUUGAAAUUGAACCGAAACCAUAUUAAAAUGGACUAAAGCAGCUCCAAUCGUAACUAUAGUCAUAAGAAACGAGAAUCAGAACCGCUUUAAAAUCAGACUGAAACCAAUCUAAAACUGUAAAUAAAUCAAAACUAAUUUGAGUCGAUUAUUCAAGAGCCGAUUCUAGUUCAACCUAGCCAAGGGCCCGAAGCCGGCCUUGGCCAGGUCUAGGACCUUACGCUUAUUUUUUUUAAUUAAAUAUUUUUUUAUAAGAAAAAAAAUUAAUUUAAGUUAAAUCCAAACCUCACAUUACUCUUUGAAUCUAAAUCAAUCUGAUUGAUUGAAUCAAGUAUAAAUCUACAGUCAAGUUUAAUUAUAAUAAGAACAUAAUAAUCCUCAUAAUUAUAUGAUAAAAUAUUCACUUAAUUUCACCGUUUAAUCAUAAUAUAAGAGAUUAUAUAUUUAAAUUAAUGAAUAUUAGCUUGAUGAUAAAUGUGAUUUUUUUUUCUAAAAGUUUUUA